UUUGAAAGAAGAUUGAGAAGAAAGGAAUGUCGAAAACAAGGACCCAAAGCAUUCUAGAAGAUACCAUUGGUCCAGGCUCUGGCCCUGGCAGCCACCUGUCAGCAGUUCACGGGCGGGCUCCAGACUCAGCAGGAACGGAGGGAACUCACUGCAGCUAGUGGAAGGAAGACCUCACAUGGCCAAGUGGUCAGUUCUCCCCUAAUGGAUCCCAGCAUUUGACACAAUUCCAAUCAAAAUUGCAAUGGGAAUUUUUUAAUCUUGA
Lontra canadensis (Northern American river otter) is the source of this 262-nucleotide long non-coding RNA. RefSeq lists it as uncharacterized. NCBI's taxonomy places the organism in Eukaryota, Metazoa, Chordata, Mammalia, Carnivora, Mustelidae. The record is from RefSeq and is a predicted model, not a curated record. The transcript is spliced from 2 exons.